UCAAACCAGAUAUUCACACACAAAACCAGAUAUUCACACACAAAACCAGAUACUCACAUACGAAGCCAGAUAAUCACACACAAUGCAUAUAAUACUCAAGAUAAGGAAAGAGUUACCCUCCUUCUUCGUGACCGGAGAAGAUCGGCCUUCAAUUAAACAGAGAAAACCCUAGGUACAAAACCCUAGGUGCAACCGUCGAAAUCCUUACUGGAAGUAU
RNAcentral lists this long non-coding RNA (217 nucleotides) under Nicotiana benthamiana. Its description in RNAcentral is "long non-coding RNA (NBEN_LNC000541)". Lineage: Eukaryota; Viridiplantae; Streptophyta; Magnoliopsida; Solanales; Solanaceae. The record is from RNAcentral.